AUGUCCAGGUUGAUGGCCGCCAUGCUUCUCGGAGGCGCGCGGGUCGCCAGCGCCACGGCGCUCACCGGCAACACUGCCGUGAAGGCCAUUCCCAGGCCCUGCUUCCUCGCUCCCCGGCCGCAUGCCGCGAGCUGGAGCCCCAUCUGCAUGCAGACCGCCCCGAGAUCGUCGCAGGCGUAUAACAACGCGCCGGACGACCGGAGGGAGAUUAAGGACAAGUACAGGGGCGCAGCGGAGCAGGCCAAGGAUGCCACCGGCCAUGCCAAGGAGAGCGCGAAGGACCACGCGUCGCGCAUGGCCGACGAGACCAAGGACAGGGCCGGGGACGCCGCCGAGAAGGCCUCCCGCAUGACGGAGAAGGCGAAGCACGAGACCAAAGAGACGGCAAGCCAGGCCGCGGACAAGGCGGGAGAGAUGAAGGAGAAGGCCAAGGAGACGGCGGAGGAAGCCGCGGAGAAGGCCUCCCGCAUGACGGAGAAGGCCAAGCACGAGACGAAGGAGACGGCAAGCCAGGCCGCGCACAAGGCGGGGGAGAUGAAGGAGAGGGCCAAGGAGACGACGGGGCAGGCGAUGGACAAGGCCAAGGAGACGGCGGGCGCGGCCAAGGAGAAGACGGCGGAGGUGGCGGAGGGCGCCAUGGACAAGGCCGGCGAGGCCAAGGACAGGGCCGCGGAGGGCACCAGGAGCGCCGGGGAGAAGGUGGCGGAGAUGACCAAGGAGGGCGCGAGCAAGGUGGCCGAGACGGCGCAGGCGCUCAGCGAGAAGGCGAAGCAGGCGGCGCAGGGCGCCUGGGAAGCCACAAAGGAGGCCGCGCAAGGGGUGAAGGAGAAGGUCGGUACAGAGAGCACGGCGGAGGAGCACUCGACGUGGGACGACGUCGAGGCCGCCACCAAGGAGAGGGACAGGAUCGCGCAGGAGGAGCGGAAGAGGCAGGCCAGGGAGAAGGGCGCCGGCUUGCCGUAG
This 963-nucleotide ribosomal RNA is filed under the name Triticum aestivum (bread wheat). RNAcentral describes it as "partial small subunit ribosomal RNA". The record is from RNAcentral. Lineage: Eukaryota; Viridiplantae; Streptophyta; Magnoliopsida; Poales; Poaceae.